This 26-nucleotide non-coding RNA is filed under the name Homo sapiens (human). Lineage: Eukaryota; Metazoa; Chordata; Mammalia; Primates; Hominidae. The record is from RNAcentral.
UCCAAAAUGCAGGCGCAGACGACACC